UAGACUUGACAUCCCGAGCGAAGCUAUAGAGAUAUAGUGGAGGUUAUCUCGGUGACAGGUGGUGCAUGGUUGUCGUCAGCUCGUGUCGUGAGAUGUUGGGUUAAGUCCCGCAACGAGCGCAACCCCUAUCAUUAGUUGCUAACAUUUAGUUGAGGACUUUAAUGAGACUGCUUACGCAAGUAAGAGGAAGGUGGGGACGACGUCAAAUCAUCAUGCCCCUUAUGUCUAGGGCUACACACGUGAUACAAUGGCUGGUACAAAGGGUUGCGAACUCGCGAGAGUAAGCCAAUCCCAUAAAGCUAGUCUAAGUUCGGAUUGGAGUCUGCAACUCGACUCCAUGAAGUUGGAAUCACUAGUAAUCGUGGAUCAGAAUGCCACGGUGAAUACGUUCUCGGUUCU
Molecule: ribosomal RNA, 399 nt
Filed under: uncultured bacterium
Lineage: Bacteria
Description: bacterial SSU rRNA
Rfam family: Bacterial small subunit ribosomal RNA
Source: RNAcentral